UAUUUAAAACUAAAUGGCAAAAUUUUAAUACUUCAAUAUGUAUCUGAAAUGGCAAAAGCUGGCGAACAGGCCAAACUAUAUACUAGCGUCUAGCCUGUAUCGGGAGCCUUGAUCCCGAACACGGCAACCGUAUGACGCCGGUAAAGUGUAAACCAUAGAUAAACAGUUUAUAGGGGUUUAUAGGGGUAAACAUAACCACAAUAAUUUGAUAUUUGAAGUUCUUUUGAACUUUUAGUUAUUUCGUAGUAGGACUUGCUUGUGUUUUGUGUGUAAGACUUUAAAUCUAUUCGUUUGACUAUUUAUUAAUUUGAUUUGUAAUAAUUAUAAAGUGAUUUUAAAAAAAUUACUCAUCAGUGCGGGAAAUGUUUGAAACAAACAUGAAACAUUUACAUUUAAAAUUUGUAAUUUAUAGUUUUCAAAUCUAUAACCAAUGGAUUUUCAUGAAGAUUCUCCAGAAGAAGAUCAGCUGUAUUGUUGAAUGUUAUGAAAACGAGGAAUGUGAUGCAAUUAUUACACAACUUGCUAAAAAACAAAAAACAGGUUCUUCGAUUGAGGAGCGACAGCAAAGCCUCUUAGUGCAAUUUCAAGAAACGUUACAUUCUGGUAACUCACACAAGAAGUUAGAUGCCAUUGAAAAAGUUUUAAAUUCCCUUCCUCCAACUUUAGCUGCAAUAGAGAAUAUUAAUAUAAAUAAAAAUAGUUUUUCAUCUUCUAAUAAAAAUAAUGUUCAUAAUGGAAAAAUUGGACCUCAAAGAAGAUUUGGGUCCACAAAAAAGAAAUCAAAAAAAUCUGUUUUAUCCCUCAGGAAACCUUCUCAACAGGAAUCGAAUACCAUAGUUAUUCAAAUACUUAACCAUAAAUAAUAAGUACUCAAUUUGUAUUUUAGUUGUUUAGUUAUGUCGUAACUAGAUAUUAUUUUUUUACUAAUUUUUAAUAUUUAAAUUAUUUUUUUUUUGUAAAAAAAUAUAUGAGCAGCUUUUUUUAACAUAAUAUUUAUAAUUUUCUUCACGUUUCUGUGGAAAUAAUUAUUUAGAAUUAGGCUCUUCAAGUCAUAUUCUAAUUGUAAAAAACAUGUAUUUACAGAGUGUCUCAUUUAAAAGUAUAAACAUUUACAUAUAGGCUUAUAUACAUUUUCAUCAAAACCUCAUUUUAUUGGAGUUCAACCAAACUUUGGAUUUGGGGAUUUUUAAUUAAGGAUUUCCUUCUUUUCAAUAAAAAAAACCUACUAUUAUUUUUCGUUGUUCUUCACCCAAUUUAGCAUCGAAGAUGCAAUCGAACUGGUUUUCAAUAUUUAAAUAGACCUCGGUGACCUCUAUCUUUUGAGACCGUCGGUUUGAUUUAAAUCAGUCAAAAAGCAAAAUAAUGAUUACGCUGUUACACUAUUAAAUGAGACACGCUGUAUGUAGAUAGGUGAAAGUAUAUGUGAACAAAUGAAUAUAUUUAAUUUAUUUUUA
Molecule: long non-coding RNA, 1454 nt
Organism: Anthonomus grandis grandis
Lineage: Eukaryota; Metazoa; Arthropoda; Insecta; Coleoptera; Curculionidae
Exons: 2
Source: RefSeq, a predicted model, not a curated record